UAGACAAGAAAAGCUCUAAUAGGAAACUGUAGCUUGGGGGGGGGUUCUGGGAGGAAAAGGACACACACACACACACACACACACACACACACACACACACACACGAUGCACAGCCCACCUGGCACAUAUUUCUUUAGCUUUAUUCUUUCAGCUCACUGUAGAAUAAAGGAAAAAGGAAGAAGCAUAUUCAGAGGUGUGUGUGUGUGUGUGUGUGUGUGUGUGUGUGUGUGUGUGUGUGUGUGUGGUGCACCUCAAUGCCAGCCUAUGAACCAAUGGCAAAUGGGUGACAAUCUCAAAAUUGCAAGCUUGUAACUAUAGCAGUGUCCAGAAUGCCUGUUCUCUGCCUUACGGGUUCAUACUUUAUUUUAGUGAUCCUCUUGUCUUUGGUCAGUCAAUUAUAUCGGUACAUGGAACAUCACAGUCUGAUACGACUUUUAUGAAUAAGAAGGACAUCUUUGACAAAACGGCUUUUAAGUAGCACUAGGAACACCUGUCAUUUGAAGGAUCUGAGGUUUACAGAAGUCCCCAUCUGUAGUUACAUGUGAUGUGGCAGCCACAAGCUCAGCUCACUGAGAGAGAGGAUAGCUUUUGUCACUUCCCUUGAACCUGACUGGUCAGGACUUCCAUUUGCCAGGUGGGGAACUUGCUCUGGGUCAGUUCAGGAUUUCCCCAUCUCCCAUAUAAUGCAGGAGUGAUGACAUCAGACAGGACUGGGUCCCGGCUGAUAGCCAAUAUUCAUGACGAUUCAGAGUUCUCCAGCAUUCUAAGCUCAGGACACCCAGGCAGCCAUCAGCUCAAGGGCCUUGUAGUAAUGACCUGGGCUGAACAGAGUAUCUCACAGCCACUUACUUUUCUGGGCAGCUCUCACACAUGCAUGAUCCACGCAGGAGAAGAAAGACCCACACAUGCAUUCCCACUUUGGAACAACACUUUAGGACCACUGUGGUGACGUCUGAGGCCUCCCUGUGGUCCACAGAGGCCUUCCUUGAUACCACUCCAUAGCUCAAGUCUGUCUCCUACCCAGCUCUACUCUAGGAUUGGAUGUUUUAACCAGAGGUUGUGUCCUGGCCCUGUGCAGAGGUGGAAGUCCUUCUACCACACCCCCUGUGAACUUGCUGGGUGUUAAUGAACAGACAGAUGCAGUUAGUUCAGAAUGGACACUCCGGAGACACACUGUGCAUUACUAAGCCAAUUCUGAUGUCAUUAGAGGUAGCAUUUAUGGACCAGAUAUCUCUGCCUCUGUACCUCAACUUUCUCAUCUGUAAAAAAGUGGUGAUAAUACUAUUCCCAUCACACCAAAAAGGGGAGAAAAAAGGAAAGAGAUGAGAGCAUGCAUUAAACAGUCUAGCAUGAACGUUCUGAGUGAAUGCUGGUUGUUCUAUAACGUACACAAGCCUUUGUGCUUUCUACGGGGUGUCCUGACCAGUUUUAACAUGACACAACUUAGAGUCGUCCAAGAGAAGAGCUUCAAUGGAGGAGUUGCCUAGAUCAGACAGGUUGGUGGGGAAUAUGUUGACUAUUACUUGAUGUAAGAAAGCCCAGCCCAUGGUGGGUGGUACCCUCCUUAGGAAGAUGGUCAGGGUUAGGGUCAGAGUACAUGACAGGUGCCCACAAGCCAACCAGCAGGCAGCACUCCCUACAGCCCCUGAUGCACUUCGUGGAUGGGAAGGGAUUUAAUGCUGUGUGGAAUGGCCCGUAGACCUGCCUUCGAGUUCCUGCCUUGAUGCCUUCAGCGAUGCACUGUGACUUGGAGUUGUAAGUAAACCUGAAUUGCUUAUGGUCGGGCAGUUUUAUCACAGCAACAAAAAUGAAAUGUGAACAGAGGGCGAAACUUGAGAAAUUCAACUGCCCUGAAAAGACCUCACGUGUCCCCUCCGUCUUUGCUUCUGAGACAAUGAAAUUGAAACAGCCUCAGAGACCAUGUAAAAGGAAGAUCAAGCAAGGGGCAAAAACAUUAUCCUGUUAUCCAGACCGAGAUCUUUUUGCAUUGAGAUCUGCCAAGUGCUUCUAGUCAAACUUCAAGCUCUGAAGCUUUCACUUAGGCUACGCCAAAUCGGGAGAAAUAGGAAGGUGGGAGAAAGGACUGCUCUGGACGAAUCAAAACAACACUCCACAGGAAGCAAGAACACCGGGAAACCAGACAAAGUCCACCGAUUUAUUAAAAGAACCUCUUGUUUCCACAACAUUCUAUGGAGUUAAGUCCAGGCUGAAAAGGAAGGCCCAUCCUCCCAGUAUGGCACAAAUGUGAACAAGCAGCCUCAAGGUCCUGAUGCCGCAGCUCCGAGCUUCCAAGAUGUCUGCCGUGAUUCCUCGGCCAUGACGAGUUGCAGCCUCCGAAAGCCUGAACUGAACCACAGUCUUCCUCUUUAGCGUUCCUUCGGCCGGGUAUUUGCUAUGGCAACCAGAGAAGUUUCCAGAACCUCAUGAGCCUUCCAACCUCGAAGUUCCCUGUAAGCAUAGAGGAGUAUUAACAACGCUUUAAAACCCGGCACGGAUUCCUGGUUAUGUGCUGAUUUAAUGACAGUUGGCAACACCAGCUAUAAAAUACAUUUCUAGAGGGAAAAUCUUAAUACACACUUAGAAUCUUGCAUGGAGUUCCUUUAUUAACUAUUUCAUCAAUGGACUGUAGGGGAAAAGGCCCCAAAGACUCCUUGCUUCCAACUAGCCAUCUUAAGAAGUUAUUAAAGGGCCAGCCCUUCAUGAUAGGCAUGUGCUUUCCUUGAAGCAGGAUGAUCUAGCAUAGAGUUAUGACGUCGAGCACCGCUUCUCCAAAAUGCAUGAGAUCAAUGGUUUUGUAUUUGGGGUUACUCUUCAUCUUAAAUCUAUUAGUGGGGAUGAGGGAAAUGCAGAAUUUUAGAAGUGGGACGGAUUCAUUUACAGUUUGACAGGGUGUAAAGGUUUCUUUAGUUAACCUCGGACUAUGCCUCAGGCUUUACAGCAGACACUGUAAAUACUGCAGAAGCAGCGUAAGUUACUUUCCUAACGUUUUCCUAAGUUAGGUGUGUGUGUGUGUGUGUACACACAUUUGUGUGUGUGUGCUUGCAUGUGUUUGUGUAUGUGUGU
Molecule: small RNA, 3063 nt
Filed under: Rattus norvegicus (Norway rat)
Lineage: Eukaryota; Metazoa; Chordata; Mammalia; Rodentia; Muridae
Description: uncharacterized LOC102550662
Source: RNAcentral